UUGCAUUUUGUUACGUCUCUAUGACAAAUUUUAGCGCACGGCUCUCUAAAGCCAUUUCCCAAGACCGAGUAUUGGAAUUAGCUCGGUCUCUUUUU
This 95-nucleotide small RNA is filed under the name Arsenophonus endosymbiont of Bemisia tabaci Q2. The record is from RNAcentral. Lineage: Bacteria; Pseudomonadati; Pseudomonadota; Gammaproteobacteria; Enterobacterales; Morganellaceae.